CCCAAAUUUCUUCCAUACUAUUUUUGUAGCCACUUGCUGAUUAUUAUUAUUAUUAAAAUUAGAUGCUGUUCUACCACUCGUUAAUUUCUUAUGAAAUUUUUUGGCACCUAAUUGUUACAUUUAAUUUAUGGCAUGGUAUCUCACUAGGAGAAUUUGUGCAUUCUAGUGUAGUACUCGUAUUGAAUUAUUUGUCAUGCUAAAGAAAGGAACACAAAAUUGGAUUGUCAAGAGAAUUCUGAGGAUUCUCGUGAAGAGAUUUAGAAAUGAAAUCAAGGUAAACGAAGCCCAGGAGCGAGCCUUCAAAUUAGCACAUUCAUGAGCUGAAUAUAUAUAACCCAUAUCCACAGCAUGAGAAAGUAAUAUAUCGGCACAGUUGGCUUUUCUUUUUUCUCAAUAAUGACCCGGUUGGCUGGGGCAGCUUGCCUGCGACCAUCCUAUGAGACUUUGUAAGUUGUCGAACAGCAUUGGCACGUCACAUGGGCGUGCAUUGAAUGGAGUCUGAGAGAGCUCAGCGUAACCCAUUUGCCUGGGGCUCAGCCUAUGAGACUUUUGCAAGUUGGACAUCACAGGGGCAUGCAUUCAAUGGAUUCUGAGAUGUAUUGCUUAAAUUUUAAUUACCAUCAGACAGUUUUGUGUCUAUAUGUUAUGGCCUUUGCAAGGACUGUAACUGCCUUUGUUCAGUUUUUCCGGUAUCAAUUUCUUCAAGCAUGUCAGGGUCCCCAUGCAUACUGGGUAGCCUUUGACAUACACCUGUUUUAUUGUUAUUAUUAUUAUUAUUAUUAUUAUGUCCUUACAAUCGCUUAAAUAAACUCCAAAACUUGAUAUUGUCAA
Long non-coding RNA from Ricinus communis (castor bean), 831 nucleotides. RefSeq lists it as uncharacterized. Lineage: Eukaryota; Viridiplantae; Streptophyta; Magnoliopsida; Malpighiales; Euphorbiaceae. The transcript has 2 exons. The record is from RefSeq and is a predicted model, not a curated record.